UACGUAGGGGGCGAGCGUUGUCCGGAUUUAUUGGGCGUAAAGAGCGUGUAGGCGGCUAGGCAGGUCUGCUGUGAAAACUCGAGGCUCAACCUCGAGACGUCGGCGGAAACCAUCUGGCUAGAGUCCGGAAGAGGAGAGUGGAAUUCCUGGUGUAGCGGUGAAAUGCGCAGAUAUCAGGAAGAACACCCGUGGCGAAGGCGGCUCUCUGGGACGGUACUGACGCUGAGACGCGAAAGCGUGGGGAGCGAGCAGG
RNAcentral lists this ribosomal RNA (253 nucleotides) under uncultured bacterium. Its description in RNAcentral is "partial 16S ribosomal RNA". It matches the Rfam family "Bacterial small subunit ribosomal RNA", at positions 524 to 776 of the family's 1533-position model. The record is from RNAcentral.